CGCCGACAUUGUGAACGCUUCUCCGGAAGCAUUGCUUGGGUGUCGCAAGGCGCCCAACAUUCAAACUCUUAUAUUUUAUCUCUGACAACCAAGAAAUUUAAAACUUUCAACAACGGAUCUCUUGGUUCUCGCAUCGAUGAAGAACGCAGCAAAGCGCGAUAGGUAAUGCGAAUUGCACACGUGAGUCAUUGAAUCUUUGAACGCACAUUGCGCCAUCAGGUUCUCCUGAUGGCAUGCUUGUUGGAGCGCCGAUCUUUCUCUCAUACUACUUUAUGUAGAAGAGGUUCUGCUCCUAUCAGGAGUCAAAAGAAUGGAAGUGCACACGUUAGAUAACUCUGUGCAGUUACACUUACAAUCUUUUGGCCUCCAAUCAAGCAAGGCUACCCGCUGAACUUAAAGCAUAACA
RNAcentral lists this ribosomal RNA (406 nucleotides) under fungal sp. OTU5 JBL-2013. RNAcentral's name for it is "eukaryotic LSU rRNA". The stretch from base 102 to 251 matches the Rfam family "5.8S ribosomal RNA". Lineage: Eukaryota; Fungi. The record is from RNAcentral.